UUCGACACACUAUCAUUAACUGAAUCCAUAGGUUAAUGAGGCGAACCGGGGGAACUGAAACAUCUAAGUACCCCGAGGAAAAGAAAUCAACCGAGAUUCCCCCAGUAGCGGCGAGCGAACGGGGAGGAGCCCAGAGCCUGAAUCAGUGUGUGUGUUAGUGGAAGCGUCUGGAAAGGCGCGCGAUACAGGGUGACAGCCCCGUACACAAAAAUGCACAUGCUGUGAGCUCGAUGAGUAGGGCGGGACACGUGGUAUCCUGUCUGAAUAUGGGGGGACCAUCCUCCAAGGCUAAAUACUCCUGACUGACCGAUAGUGAACCAGUACCGUGAGGGAAAGGCGAAAAGAACCCCGGCGAGGGGAGUGAAAAAGAACCUGAAACCGUGUACGUACAAGCAGUGGGAGCACAGAGCAAUCUGUGUGACUGCGUACCUUUUGUAUAAUGGGUCAGCGACUUAUAUUCUGUAGCAAGGUUAACCGAAUAGGGGAGCCGAAGGGAAACCGAGUCUUAACUGGGCGUUAAGUUGCAGGGUAUAGACCCGAAACCCGGUGAUCUAGCCAUGGGCAGGUUGAAGGUUGGGUAACACUAACUGGAGGACCGAACCGACUAAUGUUGAAAAAUUAGCGGAUGACUUGUGGCUGGGGGUGAAAGGCCAAUCAAACCGGGAGAUAGCUGGUUCUCCCCGAAAGCUAUUUAGGUAGCGCCUCGUGAAUUCAUCUCCGGGGGUAGAGCACUGUUUCGGCAAGGGGGUCAUCCCGACUUACCAACCCGAUGCAAACUGCGAAUACCGGAGAAUGUUAUCACGGGAGACACACGGCGGGUGCUAACGUCCGUCGUGAAGAGGGAAACAACCCAGACCGCCAGCUAAGGUCCCAAAGUCAUGGUUAAGUGGGAAACGAUGUGGGAAGGCCCAGACAGCCAGGAUGUUGGCUUAGAAGCAGCCAUCAUUUAAAGAAAGCGUAAUAGCUCACUGGUCGAGUCGGCCUGCGCGGAAGAUGUAACGGGGCUAAACCAUGCACCGAAGCUGCGGCAGCGACACUGUGUGUUGUUGGGUAGGGGAGCGUUCUGUAAGCCUGUGAAGGUGUGCUGUGAGGCAUGCUGGAGGUAUCAGAAGUGCGAAUGCUGACAUAAGUAACGAUAAAGCGGGUGAAAAGCCCGCUCGCCGGAAGACCAAGGGUUCCUGUCCAACGUUAAUCGGGGCAGGGUGAGUCGACCCCUAAGGCGAGGCCGAAAGGCGUAGUCGAUGGGAAACAGGUUAAUAUUCCUGUACUUGGUGUUACUGCGAAGGGGGGACGGAGAAGGCUAUGUUGGCCGGGCGACGGUUGUCCCGGUUUAAGCGUGUAGGCUGGUUUUCCAGGCAAAUCCGGAAAAUCAAGGCUGAGGCGUGAUGACGAGGCACUACGGUGCUGAAGCAACAAAUGCCCUGCUUCCAGGAAAAGCCUCUAAGCAUCAGGUAACAUCAAAUCGUACCCCAAACCGACACAGGUGGUCAGGUAGAGAAUACCAAGGCGCUUGAGAGAACUCGGGUGAAGGAACUAGGCAAAAUGGUGCCGUAACUUCGGGAGAAGGCACGCUGAUAUGUAGGUGAAGUCCCUCGCGGAUGGAGCUGAAAUCAGUCGAAGAUACCAGCUGGCUGCAACUGUUUAUUAAAAACACAGCACUGUGCAAACACGAAAGUGGACGUAUACGGUGUGACGCCUGCCCGGUGCCGGAAGGUUAAUUGAUGGGGUCAGCGCAAGCGAAGCUCUUGAUCGAAGCCCCGGUAAACGGCGGCCGUAACUAUAACGGUCCUAAGGUAGCGAAAUUCCUUGUCGGGUAAGUUCCGACCUGCACGAAUGGCGUAAUGAUGGCCAGGCUGUCUCCACCCGAGACUCAGUGAAAUUGAACUCGCUGUGAAGAUGCAGUGUACCCGCGGCAAGACGGAAAGACCCCGUGAACCUUUACUAUAGCUUGACACUGAACAUUGAGCCUUGAUGUGUAGGAUAGGUGGGAGGCUUUGAAGUGUGGACGCCAGUCUGCAUGGAGCCGACCUUGAAAUACCACCCUUUAAUGUUUGAUGUUCUAACGUGGACCCGUGAUCCGGGUUGCGGACAGUGUCUGGUGGGUAGUUUGACUGGGGCGGUCUCCUCCUAAAGAGUAACGGAGGAGCACGAAGGUUGGCUAAUCCUGGUCGGACAUCAGGAGGUUAGUGCAAUGGCAUAAGCCAGCUUGACUGCGAGCGUGACGGCGCGAGCAGGUGCGAAAGCAGGUCAUAGUGAUCCGGUGGUUCUGAAUGGAAGGGCCAUCGCUCAACGGAUAAAAGGUACUCCGGGGAUAACAGGCUGAUACCGCCCAAGAGUUCAUAUCGACGGCGGUGUUUGGCACCUCGAUGUCGGCUCAUCACAUCCUGGGGCUGAAGUAGGUCCCAAGGGUAUGGCUGUUCGCCAUUUAAAGUGGUACGCGAGCUGGGUUUAGAACGUCGUGAGACAGUUCGGUCCCUAUCUGCCGUGGGCGCUGGAGAACUGAGGGGGGCUGCUCCUAGUACGAGAGGACCGGAGUGGACGCAUCACUGGUGUUCGGGUUGUCAUGCCAAUGGCACUGCCCGGUAGCUAAAUGCGGAAGAGAUAAGUGCUGAAAGCAUCUAAGCACGAAACUUGCCCCGAGAUGAGUUCUCCCUGACCCUUUAAGGGUCCUGAAGGAACGUUGAAGACGACGACGUUGAUAGGCCGGGUGUGUAAGCGCAGCGAUGCGUUGAGCUAACCGGUACUAAUGAACCGUGAGGCUUAACCUUACAACGCCGAAGGUGUUU
This 2786-nucleotide ribosomal RNA is filed under the name Escherichia coli. RNAcentral's name for it is "partial 23S ribosomal RNA". It matches the Rfam family "Bacterial large subunit ribosomal RNA". Lineage: Bacteria; Pseudomonadati; Pseudomonadota; Gammaproteobacteria; Enterobacterales; Enterobacteriaceae. The record is from RNAcentral.